Molecule: ribosomal RNA, 460 nt
Filed under: uncultured bacterium
Lineage: Bacteria
Description: partial 16S ribosomal RNA
Rfam family: Bacterial small subunit ribosomal RNA
Source: RNAcentral
CCUACGGGUGGCAGCAGUGGGGAAUAUUGGUCAAUGGGCGCGAGCCUGAACCAGCGAAGUAGCGUGAAGGAUGACUGCCCUACGGGUUGUAAGCUUCUUUUAUAGAGGAAUAAAGUGCGGCACGUGUGCCUUUUUGUAUGGACUUUAUGAAUAAGGAUCGGCUAACUCCGUGCCAGCAGCCGCGGUAAUACGGAGGAUCCGAGCGUUAUGCGGAUUUAUUGGGUUUAAAGGGAGCGUAGAUGGGUUGUUAAGUCCGGUGUGAAGGUUUGCGGCUCAACCGUAAAAUUGCAAUUGAUACUGGAAGCCUGGAGUACAGUUGAGGUAGGUGGAAUUCGUGGUGUAGCGGUGAAAUGCUUAGAUAUCACGAAGAACUCCGAUUGCGAAGGCAGCUUACUAAACUGCAACUGACAUUGAUGCUCGAAAGUGUGGGUAUCAAACAGGAUUAGAUACCCUGGUAGUC